RNAcentral lists this small RNA (128 nucleotides) under Symbiopectobacterium purcellii. RNAcentral describes it as "Candidatus Symbiopectobacterium sp. SyEd1 RtT sRNA". It matches the Rfam family "RtT RNA". Rfam says of the family: This family represents a bacterial cis-regulatory element known as RtT RNA. The exact function of RtT is unknown although it is thought that it may be involved in changing the cellular response in relation to amino acid starvation. The record is from RNAcentral. Lineage: Bacteria; Pseudomonadati; Pseudomonadota; Gammaproteobacteria; Enterobacterales; Enterobacteriaceae.
UAUGCGCAUCUGUCGUGCUGGUGAGAAGCUGCGUUCAGGUUCGAGCCGAGCGAAGCGAGACAGCAACGCGUUAGCGUUGACCCCGAAGGGGCGAGGCCAACGGCCGAGUUAUCCUGCGCGACCCACCA